GGCCGAGUGGCGGAAUGGCAGACGCAGUGGACUCAAAAUCCACCGAUCGCAAGAUCAUGUGGGUUCGACUCCCUCCUCGGCCACCA
This 86-nucleotide transfer RNA is filed under the name Candidatus Doudnabacteria bacterium RIFCSPHIGHO2_02_FULL_43_13b. Its description in RNAcentral is "tRNA-Leu". It matches the Rfam family "tRNA". Rfam says of the family: Transfer RNA (tRNA) molecules are approximately 80 nucleotides in length. Lineage: Bacteria; Candidatus Doudnaibacteriota. The record is from RNAcentral. RNAcentral also lists the same sequence under 1 other name.